UGCGACGGUAGUUCAGCUGGUUAGAAUGCCGCCCUGUCACGGCGGAGGUCGUGGGUUCGAGCCCCAUUCGUCGCGCCAC
This 79-nucleotide transfer RNA is filed under the name Campylobacter gracilis RM3268. Its description in RNAcentral is "tRNA-Asp". It matches the Rfam family "tRNA". From Rfam's summary of the family: Transfer RNA (tRNA) molecules are approximately 80 nucleotides in length. Their secondary structure includes four short double-helical elements and three loops (D, anti-codon, and T loops). Further hydrogen bonds mediate the characteristic L-shaped molecular structure. tRNAs have two regions of fundamental functional importance: the anti-codon, which is responsible for specific mRNA codon recognition, and the 3' end, to which the tRNAs corresponding amino acid is attached (by aminoacyl-tRNA synthetases). tRNAs cope with the degeneracy of the genetic code in two manners: having more than one tRNA (with a specific anti-codon) for a particular amino acid; and 'wobble' base-pairing, i.e. permitting non-standard base-pairing at the 3rd anti-codon position. Lineage: Bacteria; Pseudomonadati; Campylobacterota; Epsilonproteobacteria; Campylobacterales; Campylobacteraceae. The record is from RNAcentral.